CCUUGUGUCUGGAAUAAUACACCGAAAGGGGUACUAAUACCGGAUAUUCUUGCUUUUCAUAAGUUUGGCAAGCAAAGGUGGCCUCUGACAUAAGCUACUGCAUGAGGAGGAGUCUGCGUACCAUUAGCUAGUAGGUGGGGUAAAGGCCUACCUAGGCUUCGAUGGUUAACGGGUCUGAGAGGAUGAUCCGUCACACUGGCACUGGAACACGGGCCAGACUCCUACGGGAGGCAGCAGUGAGGAAUAUUGCGCAAUGGGGGCAACCCUGACGCAGCGACGCCGCGUGAGUGAGGAAGGCCUUCGGGUCGUAAAGCUCUGUCAAAGGGGAAGAAGUGUAUAGCGGUUAAUACCUGUUAUAUUUGACGGUACCCUUAAAGGAAGCACCGGCUAACUCCGUGCCAGCAGCCGCGGUAAUACGGAGGGUGCAAGCGUUGUUCGGAAUUACUGGGCGUAAAGGGCGCGUAGGCGGCUUGGUAAGUCAGAUGUGAAAGCCCACGGCUUAACCGUGGAAGUGCAUUUGAUACUGCUAGGCUUGAGUACCAGAGGGGAAAGUGGAAUUCCCGGUGUAGAGGUGAAAUUCGUAGAUAUCGGGAGGAAUACCGGUGGCGAAGGCGACUUUCUGGCUGAGUACUGACGCUGAGGCGCGAAAGCGU
This 653-nucleotide ribosomal RNA is filed under the name Desulfobulbaceae bacterium PR8_A05. RNAcentral describes it as "bacterial SSU rRNA". It matches the Rfam family "Bacterial small subunit ribosomal RNA", at positions 130 to 762 of the family's 1533-position model. Lineage: Bacteria; Pseudomonadati; Thermodesulfobacteriota; Desulfobulbia; Desulfobulbales; Desulfobulbaceae. The record is from RNAcentral.